Molecule: long non-coding RNA, 206 nt
Filed under: Amborella trichopoda
Lineage: Eukaryota; Viridiplantae; Streptophyta; Magnoliopsida; Amborellales; Amborellaceae
Description: long non-coding RNA (ATRI_LNC003533)
Source: RNAcentral
UGUUCCCCCCUCCCUCUGCUAUUCAGUAAGAAGAUGCAAACAGCGAGUUACCUGAACUACGCGAAGGGAAGGCUUUUUUAUUCGGGCCCUAGACUCACCUGUCUCUCUCUAACCCCCUCCCCCCUUGCCUUAAUUGAAUUUGGCUUCGCGGCGCCUGAAUCAAUCAAAACGCUUCUUUCUUUGAUUCCUCCUAUUUGGGCGAGAGG